Molecule: ribosomal RNA, 1234 nt
Filed under: metagenome
Description: bacterial LSU rRNA
Rfam family: Bacterial large subunit ribosomal RNA
Source: RNAcentral
GAACUCGGAUGAAGGAACUAGGCAAAAUGGUACCGUAACUUCGGGAGAAGGUACGCCCCUGACGGUGUUAAAGCUGUUGGGGGCCGCAGAGACCAGGCCGCUGCGACUGUUUAUCAAAAACACAGCACUCUGCAAACACGAAAGUGGACGUAUAGGGUGUGACGCCUGCCCGGUGCCGGAAGGUUAAUUGAUGGGGUUAGCGCAAGCGAAGCUCUUGAUCGAAGCCCCGGUAAACGGCGGCCGUAACGAUAACGGUCCUAAGGUAGCGAAAUUCCUUGUCGGGUAAGUUCCGACCUGCACGAAUGGCGUAACGAUGGCGGCACUGUCUCCAUCCGAGACUCAGUGAAAUUGAAAUCGCUGUGAAGAUGCAGUGUACCCGCGGCUAGACGGAAAGACCCCGUGAACCUUUACUGUAGCUUUGCACUGAACAUUGAACUUGCUUGUGUAGGAUAGGUGGGAGACUAUGAAACCGGGACGCCAGUUCUGGUGGAGUCAUCCUUGAAAUACCACCCUGGCGAUUUUGAUGUUCUAACCUCGACAUAACAGUGUCAGGGACAGUGCAUGGUGGGCAGUUUGACUGGGGCGGUCUCCUCCCAAAGAGUAACGGAGGAGCGCGAAGGUGUGCUAAUCUCGGUCGGAAAUCGAGAGGUUUGUGUAAAGGCAUAAGCACGCUUGACUGCGAGACAGACAAGUCGAGCAGGUACGAAAGUAGGUCUUAGUGAUCCGGUGGCUCUGAAUGGAAGGGCCAUCGCUCAACGGAUAAAAGGGACUCCGGGGAUAACAGGCUGAUUCCUCCCAAGAGUCCAUAUCGACGGGGGAGUUUGGCACCUCGAUGUCGGCUCAUCGCAUCCUGGGGCUGAAGCAGGUCCCAAGGGUAUGGCUGUUCGCCAUUUAAAGCGGUACGCGAGCUGGGUUCAGAACGUCGUGAGACAGUUCGGUCCCUAUCUGCCGUGGGCGUUGGAGAUUUGAGGGAAGCUGACCUUAGUACGAGAGGACCGGGUUGGACGAACCUCUGGUGUUCCUGUUGUCACGCCAGUGGCAUUGCAGGGUAGCUAUGUUCGGACGGGAUAACCGCUGAAAGCAUCUAAGCGGGAAGCCCCUCCCAAGAUGAGAUCUCCCUAACCCCUAGAGGGUUCUAAAGGGCCGUUGGAGACUACGACGUUGAUAGGCUGGGUGUGGAAGUGCGGUAACGCAUGUAGCUAACCAGUACUAAUUGCCCGUGAGGCUUGAUCCC